This 506-nucleotide ribosomal RNA is filed under the name uncultured bacterium. RNAcentral describes it as "partial 16S ribosomal RNA". It matches the Rfam family "Bacterial small subunit ribosomal RNA", at positions 29 to 523 of the family's 1533-position model. The record is from RNAcentral.
AGUGAACGCUGGCGGUAGGCCUAACACAUGCAAGUCGAACGGCAGCACAGGAGAGCUUGCUCUCUGGGUGGCGAGUGGCGGACGGGUGAGGAAUACAUCGGAAUCUACUCUGUCGUGGGGGAUAACGUAGGGAAACUUACGCUAAUACCGCAUACGACCUACGGGUGAAAGCAGGGGAUCUUCGGACCUUGCGCGAUUGAAUGAGCCGAUGUCGGAUUAGCUAGUUGGCGGGGUAAAGGCCCACCAAGGCGACGAUCCGUAGCUGGUCUGAGAGGAUGAGCAGCCACACUGGAACGGAGACACGGUCAGGACGCCUACGGGAGGCAGCAGUGGGGAAUAUUGGACAAUGGGCGCAAGCCUGAUCCAGCCAUACCGCGUGGGUGAAGAAGGCCUUCGGGUUGUAAAGCCCUUUUGUUGGGAAAGAAAUCCAGCUGGCUAAUACCCGGUUGGGAUGACGGUGCCCAAAGAAUAAACACCGGCCAACUUCGUGCCAGCCGCCGCCGUAA